GGUAGUAUGAUGGACAAACGAAAAUUCCCCUGUCUCUAUAAAGCCAAUGAAAAUUAAUCUUCAGGUGAAGAAGCCUGAAUUCUGUUAAAAGACAAAAAGACCCUAUUGAGCUUCAUUCUAAUGUUAAACUAAAAAAAUAAAAAUAAAAUCAAUUUUUAACAUAAAAAUUUUGCUGGGGCGGCAAAGGAACAACCAAAAAUUCCUUCUCUCUAAGACCUAUUCGUCAACAAAAUGAUCCAUAAUUUAUGAUUAAAAGAAAUAGCUACCAUAGGGAUAACAGGCUAAUUUUUCUCUAGAGCCCAAAUUGACAGAAAAGAUUGGCACCUCGA
RNAcentral lists this ribosomal RNA (329 nucleotides) under Sternaspis spinosa. RNAcentral's name for it is "partial 16S ribosomal RNA". It matches the Rfam family "Bacterial large subunit ribosomal RNA", at positions 1986 to 2529 of the family's 2925-position model. Lineage: Eukaryota; Metazoa; Annelida; Polychaeta; Terebellida; Sternaspidae. The record is from RNAcentral.